UGCUCUUACACUGGCUGAUGCUAUUAGUGAUCUACCACCGGUGACAAAUUAUGAAAAAAUUGAUGUAAGGAAUUAUAAUGAUGCUGGUCCUAAGACAGAUUUUCAAAAAUAUAUUGCGUUGAAAAGAUCUGAGACACUACUACCCGUAACUGGUGGAGAUUCGUCGCACAAGUUAUUCGAUCACCAGCCAUUACAGCUGAGCACUAACGACUUGGAAAGAAUCUCAUAUAUACCAAAAA
Camelina sativa (false flax) is the source of this 239-nucleotide non-coding RNA. The record is from RefSeq and is a predicted model, not a curated record. NCBI's taxonomy places the organism in Eukaryota, Viridiplantae, Streptophyta, Magnoliopsida, Brassicales, Brassicaceae.